Long non-coding RNA from Magallana angulata, 1094 nucleotides. RefSeq lists it as uncharacterized. NCBI's taxonomy places the organism in Eukaryota, Metazoa, Mollusca, Bivalvia, Ostreida, Ostreidae. The record is from RefSeq and is a predicted model, not a curated record. The transcript has 2 exons.
AUAAUGAAACAUGAAGGUAAAAAAUGUGCUUCAUAGAUGACUGUAGUAUUCUGCUGAGCUACAGAACUAUAGCUUUCCGGAAAUAUUGCCGAGAUUUGCGGACUGUAGAUCUAUUGUAUAGACUAUAGUACAUGCAAAGAAUAAAAUGAAAUUUAUAUACACAGCUGUACGGUCAGAAAACAUGCGUUUAACUUGAAUUUUGUUUGUUUGGUGUUUUUAAAAACUUAUUUUGAAUAAUUAAUCUAAUGUAUAUUUCUUGUAAGUUUACUAGAAAAGUUUAAUGUUGCAAGUAAAUUAUGCGUGUUAAAGUGUACUGAGAAGCGAUAAAAUAUACAUGUGACUUUCCCAAAUUCAUUCAAAUGAUUUGAAUAAAUCUAUAGCUAAAUGCAAUUAGACAAAUGUACUUUAAAACGUUGAUAAAUGAAACUGCCGCGACUGAAUAUUGUAUGAUAUUUUUUUCUCAAAUUUUUAUUCACUUACGUUGUGAGCAAAUGGAAAUAAUCCACUACAGUCGAAGAUAAAAUAUUGAUUGACUCUUCUGUUUCAUGAUGACGUGCAUUCCAAAAGCAAUACCAGUUUUAUCAAACAGGUUCUUGCAAACCAUUCCGUUUUCUGUACACCUAAAUGUAUAACUGACUAUGAGGACAAAAGCAAGUGUGAUAGUCCAUAAGCAAGUGUGAUGAUGCAACUUUUUCCCCGUGAAGAAACUGAGAGAAAAUGCUGUCGAGAGGGAUAAUAAACAUACUACAUGUAUGCCCAAAUAGUUAGUAAAAACCUGAUAAGUAUUUUAUCAUACUAAAGCUUUAUUUGUUCUCGUUACUUUGAGAAAUCUACAAUAUCUUUAAAGCACAAAAGUCCAAUCCACACUUUUCAAAAGUUGUUCCCCUUUGCAGGGUCAACCCAAAGGUCAAAAGGGAAAAAACCAAAAUUCCCCUUCUUUAUACAAUCAAAUAGUUUGGCGCACUGUGAUGAAAUCGCUUUGGAUUUGAUUUAUUCAUUCAAUAUGUGGUGGCAACCCACAUAUUUAAUGAGUCAUUCUGGGGCAAUCAAAAUACAUUUGUGUAGUACAUGUAUUACCGAAAACGGAGUUUUAA